AACGAACGCUGGCGGCAUGCCUAACACAUGCAAGUCGAACGAGACCUUCGGGUCUAGUGGCGCACGGGUGCGUAACGCGUGGGAACCUGCCCUUAGGUUCGGAAUAACUCCCCGAAAGGGGUGCUAAUACCGGAUAAUGUCUUCGGACCAAAGAUUUAUCGCCUUUGGAUGGGCCCGCGUUGGAUUAGCUAGUUGGUAGGGUAAAAGCCUACCAAGGCGACGAUCCAUAGCUGGUCUGAGAGGAUGAUCAGCCACACUGGGACUGCGACACGGCCCAGACUCCUACGGGAGGCAGCAGUUGGGAAUAUUGGACAAUGGGCGAAAGCCUGAUCCAGCAAUGCCGCGUGAGUGAUGAAGGCCUUAGGGUUGUAAAGCUCUUUUACCCGGGAUGAUAAUGACAGUACCGGGAGAAUAAGCUCCGGCUAACUCCGUG
This 433-nucleotide ribosomal RNA is filed under the name uncultured bacterium. RNAcentral describes it as "partial 16S ribosomal RNA". It matches the Rfam family "Bacterial small subunit ribosomal RNA", at positions 29 to 507 of the family's 1533-position model. The record is from RNAcentral.